Molecule: long non-coding RNA, 220 nt
Filed under: Ananas comosus (pineapple)
Lineage: Eukaryota; Viridiplantae; Streptophyta; Magnoliopsida; Poales; Bromeliaceae
Description: long non-coding RNA (ACOM_LNC027136)
Source: RNAcentral
UUCGUAAAGUCGUGAUACGCAAGCAGUUAGUGACUACUGCUUGAUGUAGUAAAUUGUUAUUUCGAAGGUAUCUGAACAGUUGUAAGUUUGAACCCGCUUGUGCAUUUACAGAUAGUUGGUUCACGCUGAAGAGUGUGUUUAUAGGCAAAGUAUUACUCAUUUAUAAAAUCCUUCUAUAAAAGUUCUCAAAAUUAUAACGGAAUUUGAGUGAAGAGAAAAU